Molecule: ribosomal RNA, 504 nt
Filed under: uncultured bacterium
Lineage: Bacteria
Description: partial 16S ribosomal RNA
Rfam family: Bacterial small subunit ribosomal RNA
Source: RNAcentral
AUUGAACGCUGGCGGCAGGCCUAACACAUGCAGGUCGAACGGUAGCACAGAGAGCUUGCUCUUGGGUGACGAGUGGCGGACGGGUGAGUAAUGUCUGGGAAACUGCCCGAUGGAGGGGGAUAACUACUGGAACCGGUAGCUAAUACCGCAUACCGUCUUCGGACCAAAGUGGGGGACCUCCGGGCCUCACACCAUCGGAUGGGCCCAGAUGGGAUUAGCUAGUAGGUGGGGUAAUGGCUUACCUAGGCGACGAUCCCUAGCUGGUCUGAGAGGAUGACCAGCCACACUGGAACUGAGACACGGUCCAGACUCCUACGGGAGGCAGCAGUGGGGAAUAUUGCACAAUGGGCGCAAGCCUGAUGCAGCCAUGCCGCGUGUAUGAAGAAGGCCUUCGGGUUGUAAAGUACUUUCAGCGGGGAGGAAGGCGAUGAGGUUAAUAACCGCAUCGAUUGACGUUACCCGCAGAAGAAGCACCGGCUAACUCCGUGCCAGCCGCCGCCGUAA